This is a long non-coding RNA of Apis cerana (Asiatic honeybee), 2465 nucleotides long. RefSeq lists it as uncharacterized. The record is from RefSeq and is a predicted model, not a curated record. NCBI's taxonomy places the organism in Eukaryota, Metazoa, Arthropoda, Insecta, Hymenoptera, Apidae.
CCAGUCCUAUUCAACAAUUUCGAGCAAUAUGGCGUGCGAGAAACGUCAUUCGCGUCACUGUUUACUUUUUACAUUUUAGCUUAGGAAAUCGGUUUUUGAAUCUAUUAAAAUGAUUUGUGCGCGACAGUGGAACGAGGGAACUUACAGAACAUGCAAAAAGUCGUAGCAAAGAUUUAAAGCCGGAAAUUUUAAUUUAGAAGAUCGUUCAGAUGCACUAAGAAAGUUCGACGACGAUGAGUUGGAAGAAUUGUUCGACGAAAAUCCGAUCUAUGAGAAGAAUUGACAGAAAGAUUAAGAGUCACGAGACGAGCGAUUUCAUCUAUCCAACUGAAAUAAUCGGGUAAUCUUGUACCUGAUUUACGUAAUAAAAUUUUGAAUUUUCUUUUGGAAGAAAGAAGGGGAAAGAAUUUAUUCGCAUAUCUAAUAAUAUUAUCCUUUUUUAAUCCUUCGAAGAGAAGAUACGAGCGAAAAUAUAUUCGAUCAAAAAUGCAACAAAUCUCACUAGAGUGAAAAUAAGAAAAUAUAUAAAAUAUAAAAAAUAUAUAAAAAUUGUUGAAAUUCGUUGCAAGAAAUAAAAGAAAGGAUUAAUAGUACAUUUGUUGAAAGCAAGAUAAAUUUUCUCAAGAUGUUAAGCUUGCAACAACAUUUUGAAAUGGAAACAUAAACUUCUUUUCAAUAAUAUGCAGUUUCAUCGUUUAACCUUUUGCACACGAAUGGUGUCUCUCGGCCAUUUGGAUUCGAAUAGCUUCUCCAAACUCUUUAUGUACAAUCAUACGAAGCGUAGAGUAAUAUAAUGUCGACAGGUAAAUUUUCUUAUCUUAAAUUGGAUCGCGGAUCGAAUUACAUUUUCAACGUUAAUCCGAGUUUGACAGUAAGUGGUGAUAAGAACAUUAUUUUCAAUUGUUUUUCGAGCAAAGACAAGUUUCAUAUUUUGUAUAAGAAAUCAAAAUAAAAAUAAUUAAACGAUGAACAUUACGUUAAGAAGGAUUAUAAGGUUAAUGAUAAAUCGAAGACGCAUCUUGCCCGAUCGCUUCACGCAAUAUAUGUAGAGUUUAAUACUCGACAAAUUCUUCUCUAUACGUAAAGAUACCUUUAUUACGCGCAUGCGCGAAAUCGUUUUGAGGUUAGCCGUAAGAAGUUCAUCGAAACGUGUGGAACGAUUGUCUCGAGCUUUAAUAUAAUAUAUGACGGGGACAAGAAUUUCUAAUCGUGUCUUCCAAGCAAUGGAAAGGAAGAAUAGAAGAGUAAGAAAAAUACAGUAAAAUAUAAGCUCAAAGAAGUCCUCGAUAAUUACGAUCAAAGACAGUAGUAAUAACCAGUUAUCUCUAGGAAAAAAAGAAGAGGCAGCAAUUCGUUUCCAAAAAGCAAGGAAUAACCGUAACAGUAAAUCGAAGAGACGGAUUAGAAGAAGACACAAAAGGGACGAAGAUUUCGUUUCGUUUCUCUCCUCGAAUCGAGAUCCCUGGCGGCGAUUUGGCGGAAGCGGAUCAACCAGCAGUUUUCUUUCGAGCUCUCGUUUCAUCCGGUCGUUCAACCGGCCGACCGAGAUUGAGGACGGGGGAAGAGCCAUUUGCGUGAUCGGUUCGCUCGAGAUAACGAGGGGAAACGGUCAUGCAAAUGCGAUCGAAAUGGAAACUCGGCCGAAACACAGCCGCUUUAUCGCGACUUUAAUUCGGCCGUAAUUGGUACACGCCGCGCGAUGAUGGGCAACCGGUUAGUCGAUUCAUCGACUGGAAAUCGCGAUGGAAUCACCACCGAAUUCUCGCUGGUGGCGGGAGUUAUCGCGGGGUUGUUCUCGAUGUUGCGCAAUUAUCGGUGGAAGGGAUGGAACGGAUGGAUGGAAGUUGGAUCCUGGAUUCCUGGCUCGGGACGGAAAUUCGUAUCGGGAAAUAUUUUUAUUAUCUAUGAAAGAUUUAUGGAUAUAUAUUUGUUACGUUAUCUUAAUGAAAGGUAGCAUCCAUCGUUCUGUUCCAAUGGAAAAGGUAUCCUUUUCGAGUGUUGAUUUUUUUCUUACAGAGUAAAUGUUCUUGAAUUGCAUUUUUUAAGUUUGUCAAAAAGGUGAGAAUCGAUCGAUGAAGGAGAAUUUCAUAACCUUCAAAAGUUUUUGUGCAGUAAUUUAAAAGGAAAAAAUAUGAAUUGUAAAAUUCAUUAGAAUCUUUUUUUUUUUUUGCAGAAAUACAAGCUUUCCAAAGACACCAAUGGAAGAAUAGCAAAGCAAUUCGAACGUUGAAUGAACGCAAAUCCAUUACCAAACCUUUUCUCGUCGUAUGUCUGACUUUCUCUAUUAACCUUUUGGCUCAUAGAAAUCCAUCGUCUUAUAACAAAGUGCACUUAAAUCGAGGAUUUAAAGUUUUAAAAUAAUAUAUUGGAAUACUAGUAAUAAUUUGUAAGUAAUUGUAGUAAUAAAAUCGAUGAGAGAAUUCAUAACCUAAAAGAAUACGAAUUAUAAAAUUCAUUAGAACGCA